ACGAGAAACCAAACAAACCCUAAUUACCUAUUCCUCUAUUCGACUUUAACUCCUUGCCUACACCCGUCGCCGUAGUCAGUGCCGGCCCAAGCCUUGCCCAAAGGAAGGCCUCCCGCCUCUGCUGUCCAGCUCCAGCAUCCCGCCUCCACGGCUCCAAUGCUCCAUCGUUCCAUCCAACUGCCCAUCAGCCAUCGUAGGGAUAGGGUAAGUGACUAAGUGGGUAACUAGGGUUCUGGCCUUCUGGGUUCAUAGCUGCGGCUGCCGCCUGCCCCUUCCUGCUACCCUCAGCCAUCGGCCAUGCCUACGAAGUACGAAGCCCUGGUGGCCAACGGGCAAUGGACAACAGGGCUAUGGAGGACCCUACGCCCCUACGAUCCAUCCUCCAUAGCCCGUCUUCUCCAUCUGCCGUCCUCGGCAGUCGGCAUCUCGGCUUGUCGGCCUCGGCCGAAGACUCUUCUUCCGCGAAGAGUCUAAGUUCUAAACUCUUCUUCGGUUCUUCCUUCUUCCCUGAAUUCGUAGCUUGGCUCGGUAACUCGGUUCACCGUUCCCGAAUCUCACUUCGCCCUUUCCGUUCGCCACUCGCUCUCGCCGUCCUCGGAGGGAAUCAGGAAGGCGGCGUCGCCGGCGUGACGCGUGACGGCGUCUCUUGGCUCUCUUCUCCUUCUCGGCAGUCGGCCCAGCCCUCCGUCGUCGCCGGAGCCCGGAGCCGGAGGGUCUUCAUUAAAAUUGAUAGGAGCUCCGGCAUCACUUCUCACCAUCGAGUUUCUAUUUCGGCACUGCUUGUCAGGACUUGAGUUCGUCGUCGAGUCCAGCAUCGCUUCUGUUGACAUUUCGGGUUUUAUCAUUUUCAACUCUCUUGUAUUUUGAUUUGUUUGUAGUGAUUGUGUUAAUUGUUUAGAUUCAAAUGUCUAAUAGAAAAUUUGAAUGUGGGUAUGAAAAAUUCAAAAAGAAAAAAAACAAAAAACUCAUUCAAUCUCAAAAAAUCGAAAAAUCAAAAUACUACAUCCAGUUCAACUCCGAAUGAAAUAGAGUUUCAAGAUGACAUAAAAGAACGAAACAAGUAUCUUAAGAACGUCUUACAUGUGGACCCUUAUAGUCAUCCAUACGAACAUGUGACUCAAGAGGUUUGACGCCACUUAAUUGACGAUGUGUGGAAAAGCAAAGAACACAAGGUGAGAUGAAAAGCUGGCAAAAAGAAUAGGAAAAAGCUUGAGUACAAUCAUUGUUCAGGAUCUCGGUCAUUUGUUGCAACAAUGACUAUACCGAAUUCUAUAAGAAAACUCAUACCAAGAAGAACAAAGAGUAGAUUGAUCUUAUUUGCGCCGUGAAAUAUAGUUCUUAAAGAAAAGAGCGAGAGAUGGAGCGUGAGGAGCUGCGGAGGCAAUUGGAGCAGGAGAGAAGAGAGCGUGAGGAGGAAAGAAAAGAGCGAGAGGAAGAACAGAAGCAAAUUGCACAUCUUACAAGUUUGGUGAUAGAGUUCUUAAAGGAAAAGACUCAAACGCACAAGUCAUGUAUUUUUGUAUAAGAAUAUUUUUGUCUACAUGAUGGUGGUUUGGAUGAAUACCAAGAUUAUAUAUUUUGGGAUUUUUAAUUACAUUUUGAUGUGUUUGGUGAUGAUUAUCACCUUAACAUAUGGUAUGGAUGAAACAUUGUGAUGUAUGGUUAAUAGGUAUGCUUGACUUUAGACUUAUAGAUAAUGAUAUUUAUAAUGAAUGAUUAUGGAUUCUCCAACA
Phoenix dactylifera (date palm) is the source of this 1733-nucleotide non-coding RNA. The record is from RefSeq and is a predicted model, not a curated record. Lineage: Eukaryota; Viridiplantae; Streptophyta; Magnoliopsida; Arecales; Arecaceae.